GAUGAACGCUGGCGGCGUGCCUAAUACGUGCAAGUCGAGCGAACGGACGAGAAGCUUGCUUCUCUGAUGUUAGCGGCGGACGGGUGAGUAACACGUGGAUAACCUACCUAUAAGACUGGGAUAACUUCGGGAAACCGGAGCUAAUACCGGAUAAUAUUUUGAACCGCAUGGUUCAAAAGUGAAAGACGGUCUUGCUGUCACUUAUAGAUGGAUCCGCGCCGCAUUAGCUAGUUGGUAAGGUAACGGCUUACCAAGGCAACGAUGCAUAGCCGACCUGAGAGGGUGAUCGGCCACACUGGAACUGAGACACGGUCCAGACUCCUACGGGAGGCAGCAGUAGGGAAUCUUCCGCAAUGGGCGAAAGCCUGACGGAGCAACGCCGCGUGAGUGAUGAAGGUCUUCGGAUCGUAAAACUCUGUUAUUAGGGAAGAACAUAUGUGUAAGUAACUGUGCACAUCUUGACGGUACCUAAUCAGAAAGCCACGGCUAACUACGUG
RNAcentral lists this ribosomal RNA (497 nucleotides) under uncultured bacterium. RNAcentral describes it as "partial 16S ribosomal RNA". It matches the Rfam family "Bacterial small subunit ribosomal RNA", at positions 28 to 507 of the family's 1533-position model. The record is from RNAcentral.